This 27-nucleotide non-coding RNA is filed under the name Homo sapiens (human). The record is from RNAcentral. Lineage: Eukaryota; Metazoa; Chordata; Mammalia; Primates; Hominidae.
GUAGAAGGCAGGUGUCUAUCAAGUGAC